ACCCAGACUCCUACGGGAGGCAGCAGUGGGGAAUAUUGCACAAUGGGGGAAACCCUGAUGCAGCGACGCCGCGUGAGCGAUGAAGUAUUUCGGUAUGUAAAGCUCUAUCAGCAGGGAAGAAGAUGACGGUACCUGACUAAGAAGCCCCGGCUAACUACGUGCCAGCAGCCGCGGUAAUACGUAGGGGGCAAGCGUUAUCCGGAUUUACUGGGUGUAAAGGGAGCGUAGACGGCGAUGCAAGCCAGAUGUGAAAGCCCGGGGCUCAACCCCGGGACUGCAUUUGGAACUGUGUGGCUGGAGUGUCGGAGAGGCAGGCGGAAUUCCUAGUGUAGCGGUGAAAUGCGUAGAUAUUAGGAGGAACACCAGUGGCGAAGGCGGCCUGCUGGACGAUGACUGACGUUGAGGCUCGAAAGCGUGGGGAGCAAACAGGAUUAGAUACCCCCGUAACA
Molecule: ribosomal RNA, 449 nt
Filed under: uncultured bacterium
Lineage: Bacteria
Description: bacterial SSU rRNA
Rfam family: Bacterial small subunit ribosomal RNA
Source: RNAcentral